UCCAGACUCCUACGGGAGGCAGCAGUGGGGGAUAUUGCACAAUGGGGGGAACCCUGAUGCAGCGACGCCGCGUGGGUGAAGGAGCGUUUCGGCGCGUAAAGCCCUAUCGGCAGGGAAGAAGGAGGACGGUACCUGACUAAGAAGCCCCGGCUAACUACGUGCCAGCAGCCGCGGUAAUACGUAGGAGGCAAGCGUUAUCCGGAUUUACUGGGUGUAAAGGGGGCGCAGACGGCAGCGCAAGCCAGGAGUGAAAGCCCGGGGCCCAACCCCGGGACUGCUCUUGGAACUGCGCGGCUGGAGUGCAGGAGGGGCAGGCGGAAUUCCUGGUGUAGCGGUGAAAUGCGUAGAUAUCAGGGGGAACACCGGUGGCGAAGGCGGCCUGCUGGACUGCAACUGACGUUGAGGCCCGAAAGCGUGGGGAGCAAACAGGAUUAGAUACCCGGGUA
This 446-nucleotide ribosomal RNA is filed under the name uncultured bacterium. Its description in RNAcentral is "bacterial SSU rRNA". It matches the Rfam family "Bacterial small subunit ribosomal RNA", at positions 330 to 792 of the family's 1533-position model. The record is from RNAcentral.